Amycolatopsis australiensis is the source of this 115-nucleotide non-coding RNA. The record is from Rfam. NCBI's taxonomy places the organism in Bacteria, Bacillati, Actinomycetota, Actinomycetes, Pseudonocardiales, Pseudonocardiaceae.
GGUCAUGAGUGCCAGCGCGAAGCCCCGGCUUGCUGGCCGGCAACCCUCCUACCGCGGUGGGGUGCCCCGGGUGAAGACCGGGCCGGUCGCGCAGUGCGACGGGCAAGCGCGGGCC